Molecule: RNA transcript, 7757 nt
Organism: Odontomachus brunneus
Lineage: Eukaryota; Metazoa; Arthropoda; Insecta; Hymenoptera; Formicidae
Gene name: protogenin-like
Exons: 21
Source: RefSeq, a predicted model, not a curated record
ACGGGCAGGAAGGAACGAAGGAGUUGCGCGCGCGCGUGCUGAGAACAGGACGCGCAACGAUAGCUUUUCGUAGCUCAGAGCACUGUAGGCGGUGUGUCUCGGAUCAGCGGUCGUUCAACACGCUCAUUUCCUUCGUUCGCUCGUAAUCCGGUUGUGACUUAGUACGUGAGUGCGUGCGUGCGUGCGUACGUGCCGGCAGUCGCAUCUUUCGUCUCGCGUUCAGCUCUCGGUGACGCGCGCGGUCGCGCCGGUCAACGAUGUAGGCAUACACACGCGAGGAAAACGCGCGAGCGCGCCGGCGCGGUGGGAGGGUCCAGGGGCGGGGAGAGGAGGCGAGGCGCUCGAGCUCGGCGAACGGAACGGCCGGUGGCGGCGGAAGAACUGUUCUUCUUCUCGGUCGCGACGAGGCGGCCGAUGUCAAACAUGCGGCGACGAAUUUUCUGCGCGAGCAGCUCGACGACGACGGCAUCGCGAACGACGAAGGCAACGCGGACGACGAGAACGACGACGACGACGACGACGAGGAGAUCGGGAAAGACGACGAUAACGGCGAAUUGGCGACGGCGCGCCACGGCUGUGUUUUGCUGCCAGUGAAAGCAUACACUCACGCGCGCGCACGUAAACACGCCGAGCAUACGACACACACACAUAUAUAUAUAUACACACACACAACGCGCCACACACACACAUACACACGCACCGGUGCGCGGCUGCCGAUGAGCGCGGAUAUAUGGCGGCGCGAGUACUCUUGCUGAGCGUCUUGAUUACGGAAGUGUUGAAGCCCGCUUGUGCCGCAGGUGUUAAAGGUAUCGGGGGAAACUUCGGUGGUAGAAACGUGUCCAAACCAGAUAUCUCCGACGCCGGUCCGACUAAAGGCGCUGGGUUAACAUUGGAAAUUCAACCUAGUGGCCAUGUGAUACUAGGAAAGAAGGGGAUCACGCUCACCUGCACAGCUAGUGCCAAUGAGAAUAUAACCUGGCUUCACAAUGGAAUACGAGCGCCUCCAUGUGGUCUUACUCGCUGUGUUCUUCUUAAAAAUGGCUCUCUUCACUUUCACAAGAAACAAAAUUUACAAAUGCAAAAGUUCAAAGAGAAGGAAAGGAAUAGUAUUGUUAACGCUAGAAACCAUAAUGAAGAGGAAUAUCGCUGUGUAGCAAAUAAUAGUUUAGGAGAGCUGGUGCGAUCAGCUCCUACAUUUAUUCAGAUAGCAGAACUUGCCCAUGUAUUUAAAGAAUCGCCCGAAAAUAUUACUGUUCGAGAAGGCGAAGUCGCAAGAUUUUCUUGCUUGAUAGACAGUGUUCCUUUCCCACCCAAUAUUACAUGGCAACAUAAUGAAACAUUGUUGUCUUACCAUAAUGAAUCAAAGUAUUCCGUGGUACCACCAGGUGUUCUGUAUAUAAGUGCAACGAAACUAUCAGAUGCUGGCUCAUAUAGAUGCAUAGUCACUAAUGAAUUUCUAAAGAAGACCAAAAAGAGCAGAGAAGCAAAAUUAACGGUUAUCCCGAAAGCAAAGAGCAACAAAUCGCAUACCCCAUCGUCUUUGUUUCCGCAAAUAUCGUACAAUCAUUGGCUGCUUAACGGCUCAAGUCUGAAUUUAGCAUGCGCCGCAUCUGGUUAUCCAUCGCCGCUCAUAACAUGGUCGUUUAUUCCUCGUUACAUAGAUAAUGUUACGCAACCUCGCAUUCUCCUUAAUUCCACUACCGGCAUUGGUAUACUGUCGCUGAGAAACGUCAAUGCUUCCAAUGCCGGUGUCUACUUGUGUUCUUCGAAAAAUUCGAUCACCAAUGACUUAGAAGUACAGAAUAUAACCGUAGACAUAUUGAUACCGCCGUCGUUUAUGAAAACGCCGACGAACCAAAUUUGUCCGAAUGGGAGGACAGCGAGGUUCGAGUGUCAGGCGCAAGGAUCACCCGUACCUCAAAUUUAUUGGCUGAAAGACUCGUCAAAUAUUACUAUCAAUGGUCGCAGAACGACUUAUGUUAAGGAAUACAAUAAAAUAGAACUAGCAAUAUCGGCAACAGUGCCGAACGAUACUGGCAUAUACCAGUGCGUGGCGGUGAAUCCAGCGGGUGAAAUUUGGGCUGCUGGCCGGCUCCAAGUAAAUACGUCGCGCAAUAGUCCCGCUGCGCCCACUUCUCUAAAAUGUCAUGCCGUUUCACCAGUUAGAAUCUUAAUUUCUUGGGAACCACCAAAGUCUCUACCAUAUACCAGUAUUACAGCUUAUACCGUCCAUUAUAGUCCUGUAGAGGGUGGUAAGGAGGAAGUUUCCCCACCGGAACCAGGAAACUCUACAUCCGUAGAAGUAACAAAGCUUCUCGAACCGUUUACAAAUUACUCGUUCUACGUACGAGUGUGGAAUAAUUAUGGUGCUAGCGAUCAAUCGGCUACCAUUCUGUGUUCCACCGCUCCAAGUGUUCCUAAAGGCGCACCAAAAAUAAAUGUGGAUAUAAUCAGUAGUACAAAGCUAAAUGUAUCAUGGGAGCCUUUGAGUAAGAAGGAAUCUCGUGGCGUUGUGGUAGAAUAUAAACUUCAGUGGAGACUUCACCAACACCCAUCUUCCAAACUACUCGAACUACCUGCUAUUAUCGAAAACUAUAUACUUUCUGACCUGAUACCUGGAGCACAAUAUGAUCUACGAGUGUUGGCGAGAACAAAGCAAGGCUGGUCGAACAUUAGCGAGACGCAAUUUGAGUGGGUCACUGUGACCAUGCCGUCACCUGAAACUAAUCAAUUUACUAUAAGGAACGUUGUGGAUAUUCAAGUACUAAUAGUGAACGCUUCAUUAGUUAAGAUGAAAUGGAAAAUAAACUUCAAGCAGAACGAAUCGGACUUCGACUCCUGGCAGAUAUACUGUGAAAAUCAAGAUGGUGAAAAAUUGAAAACUAUUUUUCUGCCACAGAACAUGACUGAGUAUCUGUUCACUAAUCUUGAUAUGAAUGUUUCUUAUACAAUGGGUCUGUGUAUGGUGAGUUCGGGUCACACAACAGGUUGCUUGACAAAACACAUAGAAACCACGCAAUUUGAUUCUAGUGAUGUACCAAUGGCUCUGGAGGCCAUUCCUGUCUCACCCACGUCCAUUAAUGUAACGUGGACAUUGUUGGACACACAUAUUGUAGAUUCGUUCGAGCUUUGUUAUCACGCAGUGCAUGUACAAAAUUCCGACAAUUUCCAAUGUUUUAUCAUAGACGAUACGAAGGCAAACGUUGAUAAGCUGAAGCCUUUUACAUUAUACCAGUUCAAAGUGAGAGCUAUUAGACACGACAUGAAUGAGACCAGUCUCUAUAGCGAGUCUAUAGAAUGCUACACGAACGAAGAUGUUCCCGGCAAAGUUGAGAAAGUGGAGUGGUUCUUGGGGAACAAUACCAAGGUACGAAUCGCGUGGAAAGAGCCGAGUAGUGUGAACGGAGUCAUACAGAGUUACUUUGUCGCGUAUACCAUGGACUUGACGGAGACAACGGUGACAUGGGGUAACGUGACUGUGCCUGGUAACAAAACGUCGACGACUCUACCGGGUUUGGCGCCAGGGAAACGUUAUUUCGUUGUGGUGCAAGCGGCGACGAGAGCCGGAUACGGGAAGCCGUCGGAUCCUAUUAUUAUUAUCACUGGUGGUGGCGCGUCGAGACCUACCUCGUCGGACAAGAAAGAGCCCUCGCAAAAUAUCAGUCCCGAUCAGAGUCUAGGUGUGGUUCUUGGAGUGAGCAUAAGCAUCGGCUUCAUCAUGAUAUGCCUAUGCAGUAUAUAUUGCCGGCGCAAGUACGAGAAUUCCCGCUCGUUCCGCAACGACGCUCAGCCUACGAAUGGGCGCGUACUGUCGCGGAACGGAAACGGAUGCUGCGUGGAGCAGUCUUCCGCAUCCGCAAGCCAGCAGGUAAACGCUAUUGGUGGUGCACCGAAUGAGAUCGAACUAGCCGUGCUAUGUCCGUCGUCCCCGAUCGAGACAAAUCCGCAUUCCGAUGCAAAGGGUGCACAAUCCAAUGGAGUUUUUGAGAAUUGCGUGAGAGAACCUCUUUUGUCGCCGUGGGAGAUAAACGGAGACUCGAAAGAUGUUCACAUCAUGGAGAACCCUCAGUACAAAAGAAGAGGUAGUUCCACCUCAGAUCAGCAGGAUGAGGAGGAGGACAGAGAGGAGCCAGAUUUAGAAGGCACACAGCUCACAAUGGUCAAUUGUACUUUAGGCAGUAGCGCUAGCAGUCUAAAUAACAACUCAGGAUGCCCGGACGGGGAGAUUGCAUCGCCGAAGGCCGCGUGCUUGUCUGUCCCAGCGCUCGGACCGAACGGGUGAAAAAGCGCGUUUAGGCAAUACGCUAAAAGUGUUCAAUACUUCUCACCGGGUCUAUCGGGUCGCAUCAGGUAGGAGUACAUGAAUUCUCCCUUUUCCUCAUUCACACACAGCUGACACACAGCAAGUCGGUCGAUUCUCUCGAUCGAGACGCGGGAGAACGCAACGAGAAAUUCCGGCAUUCCUGAAAAAGAAAACAAGAGCAAUGCAAUAGAAGAAACACCAUCACCUCUUCGCAGUUUCGAAGCGCGCUUUCUAGCUCGCCAACAAGGACGACAUCGUCUGAUACAUACAUCCACAACCUACGGCCGAUGUAAAUAAUACCGUUUCGGAAAAUCCGAAUUCCUUCAGGAAUCAAAGUUGGAUUUCUUUCGCGUUUAAAGUUGAUCAUGUAUCGCGCGCGAUGAGAAGUGUUUGUGAAGCAACUUCGAAACUAUUUACCAGAAUUACUCUCGGCAUUGACGGUGUGAAACCAAACCGGUGUGUCGUGAGGAGAAGAAUUAGGAAACCUCGAUCGUUCCUCGGUGAGAGAAACGUCAAGAGAUUAUGGUCAAACGUGGGAUGAUGCUCCUUGAUGAUUGUUGAAAAUACGCGGCGGUGCGAUAAGAAGUCAUAAUAGGCAGGUCCGGACUUGAUUCUUAGCUGAGGCAAUAUUACUCUUAAUAAUAGUGGGAUCUGGAAUAGAAUUGGUGAGUAUAAUUAUUAAUGCAGAAGUCGGGAACUAGUUCAAUUAAAUUUACAAUUGGAUAGUCCAGAUAAAUCACUCGAAAAGGACGCAAGAUUUUUGGAACAUGAAAUUUAUCUUUUCGCGAUUAUAAAAAGAUAUUAACACCCGUACCAUAAUCCAAUUUUGAUGCAUAACUACUAGAUCACUACUAGAAACAAUCAUUACGUAUCCCGUGGUUUUAUCACAUUUAUGGUGGUCUGACAGCGACAACGUUUGAUCCUUUCUUUAUAGCUGGCCACACAUAAGACUAAAUUUUUCUCGGUCUCGUGGAAUUGGCACAUUCAUUCCAACCCUUUUGUAUUCUUUGAAGGAAAUUAAGAUCAAUAACAACACUCAAGACUAAAGUUCUUUCCACUUUGUAUCAGAUCCUUUUCAAUGUGUCUGAUAGAACAAUGCUUUAUAACUUCACUGGCAAAUUUCUGCAUUAUUUGGACGAUUAAUUGAGAACUUUGUAUGUGCGUAUCAACACCCACGUUAGACUAUUGUCGUCUCGCGUCUCUUGCAGAUUUCGAUCUCACGGACGAUCGCAUACACGUUUGUAUUUUUGAUCGAUCGAUCGCGCGAUUAAUAUUACACAGCGGAAAUUCGAGAAGCUACGCUUUCACAUUAUUAUAUAAUAUUCUACAUUUCGAAAAUAAAACAAAAAGUAUAUGUACAUAUAUAAAUAUAUAUAUCUACAGCGUGCGUGAUGAAGAAUGACUUUUUAAAGAAGCUAUCGAUUAUAUCAAAAACAGAUCAUCAAAAGAGAUUAAUUUCGAAGAGAGAAAGAGAGAGAGAUAUACGUCGAAUGAAAAUAUAAGCCAGAGGAAAAGUAUAUGUAAUAAACGCUAAACGCUUUUUUAGCUAUUUCACUCGUUCUUUUCUUGUUUCACACACGCUUAGAUGAUAAUCAGUCAGGCAGAGUUGUACGAGUAUUUUUCCAGAAAUGAGUUUUACAUACGCUUAUCACAAAACUAUUCUCAUACGUUUUCGUUCUUUUCUUUCUUACGUCUCUUACAUAGCAUAAUGUGCGUAAUCACUACACUACUCUUCCCAUAACCGUAACACUACGUGUAUCCGAUUGUAUACAAUUCCGCAGACACUUUUGAUUCCAUAUAUCGCGCUGCAUCGUCAAUAUUAACGAAAAAAAAAUACCACCCUGCGGAGAAAGAAGAGUAGUAGUCGCAGCGGCGUAGAAACGCCCCAAGCCACUCAGCAAUCAAUAAUUUAUAAUCGAACACAAUCAACAUUUCGUACUGCAUUUACAUACCAUGUAACGUUCUCGAAUAAUUUCAUGGAUGUGAUAAGUUUUAGGUGUGAACUGACUAUAGAGUCGCCGUGCCGAGAGAGAUAAACAGAGCAUCAAUUGUACGGGGUUACCCUCUGGAGGUGUCGAGAACUAUUGUCACCGCGAGGCUGUUUAUGAACAAACGGAGACGAGUUUUCUUUUCUCGCAUUUUGAUUAGUACAUCGAGCUUCUUCUUCGUAUCACUGCCAAAAUAUCGUUAAAUCCAACUUUGUAACAGGUAGUAUCAGCAAAGCUCCGUCAUUAUUUUUCUACUUUUGUACUGCUGUUAGUUGAAUUACCAUUUUAAAUAAAAAAAAAUCGCUAUUGAGACUGAGAAACAGCGGCUCGUCGUGACGCCUCAAGCGGGACAUUCCGUACACGUGUGUAAGAUCCAUUAACAUAACAUUACCUUAGUACGUACAAAAGCAAUAAGCAUCGUCAUGUAUAUUAUGCGUCGAAAGUGUAACACGAUAUCAUAGAUGUAAUGAUACCUUAUAUCAUUUCUCAUCAUCGAUAUUUUGUAUAUUCAUCAGAUCGCUGUUUACAUUGUAAUUAAUUUUCCGGAGCAAAUCAGUACGAUCGUUAUCGUGAUAACACAGAGCCGAUCAUCUUCGUUCACUUCUUAACACUCACUACUUUAUUAAUUUAGGAAUAUCGACAAUGCGGCAGCCAAAGAGAGAAACAUCUUAUCGUCAUUCGAAUUAUCGCGUUUUCAUGAAUGAAGCUGAUAUUAAGCGCCAUUCGGCUAGUUUCUCUAUUAUGCAUACACACAUUCUUUUUACGCGAAGUACGAUAUAACAGCGGAACCGUCUAACUUGCGCGAGUGACUCGUGCUCGGUUAAACGGCUCUGAUGUAAUAAAUAUACAUCUACACACAUACACGUCCGACGAGAGAACUGUUUUGUCGAGCAUGCAGUAGCGAGUAUUAAUUGUAUCGUACGGCGGCUCUAGUCGAACGAAUAUACCUCCGUAAUCGUCGCUCCUCGCGGAGUGAUUUACAUUACUUAAUUUUAACUUAAUCUCGGUACCUAUUAGGCUAUUAUUUUUACAAUUUUAUUACGCAGUUUACCUCACGCAGAAUAUGUUGUCACAUGCCCAGUGAGUGUAUGUAUACAUAUAUAUACAUAAAUAUGUACAUACAUAUGUAUGUAUAUAUGUAUAUAUCACGCCCAAGACAUUACACUUUAUUUUACAUAUAAUAUAUACAGAAGAAGAGAAUUCGGUAAUUCUAUUCAUUUGUAUUAUUAUCGUUAAUUAUAAUAAUUAUUACGUAUUAAGAGAAAACUUUAUUAACUUAUUUUCCGCAAACCCUCAUCUCUCAUCCUUCUUCUUUUUUGACGACAUUUAGAUUGAUUAUUCUAUAUAUUGCGACGAUUAUAUAUAUUGACGUUUUUAGGGUGGUUACUUGUAUAUACCUUUAUCUACGAUUGUGUAUAUAUAUAUAUAUAUAUAUAUAUAUAUAUAUAUAUAUAUACACAUAUAUA